Molecule: ribosomal RNA, 457 nt
Filed under: uncultured bacterium
Lineage: Bacteria
Description: bacterial SSU rRNA
Rfam family: Bacterial small subunit ribosomal RNA
Source: RNAcentral
AUUGAACGCUGGCGGCAUGCCUUACACAUGCAAGUCGAACGGUAACAGGUCUUCGGAUGCUGACGAGUGGCGAACGGGUGAGUAAUACAUCGGAACGUGCCCGAUCGUGGGGGAUAACGCAGCGAAAGCUGUGCUAAUACCGCAUACGAUCUACGGAUGAAAGCGGGGGAUCGCAAGACCUCGCGCGGACGGAGCGGCCGAUGGCAGAUUAGGUAGUUGGUGGGAUAAAAGCUUACCAAGCCGACGAUCUGUAGCUGGUCUGAGAGGACGACCAGCCACACUGGGACUGAGACACGGCCCAGACUCCUACGGGAGGCAGCAGUGGGGAAUUUUGGACAAUGGGGGAAACCCUGAUCCAGCCAUGCCGCGUGCAGGAUGAAGGCCUUCGGGUUGUAAACUGCUUUUGUACGGAACGAAAAGGUCCUUUCUAAUAAAGAGGGCUCAUGACGGUACCGUA